Molecule: ribosomal RNA, 1358 nt
Filed under: uncultured bacterium
Lineage: Bacteria
Description: bacterial SSU rRNA
Rfam family: Bacterial small subunit ribosomal RNA
Source: RNAcentral
GAUGAACGCUAGCUACAGGCUUAACACAUGCAAGUCGAGGGGCAGCAUGGUCUUAGCUUGCUAAGGCCGAUGGCGACCGGCGCACGGGUGAGUAACACGUAUCCAACCUGCCGUCUACUCUUGGACAGCCUUCUGAAAGGAAGAUUAAUACAAGAUGGCAUCAUGAGUCCGCAUGUUCACAUGAUUAAAGGUAUUCCGGUAGACGAUGGGGAUGCGUUCCAUUAGAUAGUAGGCGGGGUAACGGCCCACCUAGUCUUCGAUGGAUAGGGGUUCUGAGAGGAAGGUCCCCCACAUUGGAACUGAGACACGGUCCAAACUCCUACGGGAGGCAGCAGUGAGGAAUAUUGGUCAAUGGGCGAGAGCCUGAACCAGCCAAGUAGCGUGAAGGAUGACUGCCCUAUGGGUUGUAAACUUCUUUUAUAAAGGAAUAAAGUCGGGUAUGGAUACCCGUUUGCAUGUACUUUAUGAAUAAGGAUCGGCUAACUCCGUGCCAGCAGCCGCGGUAAUACGGAGGAUCCGAGCGUUAUCCGGAUUUAUUGGGUUUAAAGGGAGCGUAGAUGGAUGUUUAAGUCAGUUGUGAAAGUUUGCGGCUCAACCGUAAAAUUGCAGUUGAUACUGGAUAUCUUGAGUGCAGUUGAGGCAGGCGGAAUUCGUGGUGUAGCGGUGAAAUGCUUAGAUAUCACGAAGAACUCCGAUUGCGAAGGCAGCCUGCUAAGCUGCAACUGACAUUGAGGCUCGAAAGUGUGGGUAUCAAACAGGAUUAGAUACCCUGGUAGUCCACACGGUAAACGAUGAAUACUCGCUGUUUGCGAUAUACUGCAAGCGGCCAAGCGAAAGCGUUAAGUAUUCCACCUGGGGAGUACGCCGGCAACGGUGAAACUCAAAGGAAUUGACGGGGGCCCGCACAAGCGGAGGAACAUGUGGUUUAAUUCGAUGAUACGCGAGGAACCUUACCCGGGCUUAAAUUGCAGAUGAAUUACGGUGAAAGCCGUAAGCCGCAAGGCAUCUGUGAAGGUGCUGCAUGGUUGUCGUCAGCUCGUGCCGUGAGGUGUCGGCUUAAGUGCCAUAACGAGCGCAACCCUUGUUGUCAGUUACUAACAGGUUCCGCUGAGGACUCUGACAAGACUGCCAUCGUAAGAUGUGAGGAAGGUGGGGAUGACGUCAAAUCAGCACGGCCCUUACGUCCGGGGCUACACACGUGUUACAAUGGGGGGUACAGAGGGCCGCUACCACGCGAGUGGAUGCCAAUCCCCAAAACCUCUCUCAGUUCGGACUGGAGUCUGCAACCCGACUCCACGAAGCUGGAUUCGCUAGUAAUCGCGCAUCAGCCACGGCGCGGUGAAUACGUUCCCGGGCCU